Molecule: ribosomal RNA, 510 nt
Filed under: uncultured bacterium
Lineage: Bacteria
Description: bacterial SSU rRNA
Rfam family: Bacterial small subunit ribosomal RNA
Source: RNAcentral
AGAGUUUGAUCAUGGCUCAUGAUGAACGCUGGCGGCGUGGAUAAGGCAUGCAAGUCGAGUGGGUUUAGACCCACGGCGAAUUGGUUAGUAAUACAUAGGAACGUACCUCAAAGUCAGGGAUAACCCAGAGAAAUCUGGAAUAAUACCUGAUAGUCUCUUCGGAGUAAAGAUUUAUCGCUUUGAGAUCGGCCUAUGUCCUAUCAGCUAGUUGGUGAGGUAAUGGCUCACCAAGGCUAUGACGGGUAGGGGACGUGAGAGCGUGACCCCCAACAUUGGCACUGAGACACUGGCCAAACACCUACGGGUGGCUGCAGUCGAGAAUAUUCGACAAUGCACGAAAGUGUGAUCGAGCGACGCCGCGUGCGGGAUGACAGCCUUCGGGUUGUAAACCGCUUUUAUAAGGGAAGAAUUUAGAUGACUGUACCUUAUGAAUAAGGAGUUGCUAACUACGUGCCAGCAGCAGCGGUAAUACGUAGACUCCAAGCGUUAUCCGGAUUUAUUGGGCGUAAA